AAUGAAUACCUAAUUUCAGAGGGAUUGUAUGUGAAGUCUAUAUUUCACUGUUUUUAAAUGUUUCCCUGCCUCCCCCACCCUGCCUCUGGUUCCACCCUGUCCCGGUCCCUCUUCCUAGUGCUGCCCAGACUGGGUCACCAAACAGGCCUGUCUGACGGAACCCUUGUCACCUUUGUGGAGAAUUCUCUUUGGGCCCUGCCUGGAAGCAGGAAAAAUACUAUUGUAUUACAAGGCUCGGACCAAAGACAUCCUGAUUCGAUUCACUGCUUGGUGUUGUAUUCUUGGGCUCAUUUCUGUUGCUCUGACGAAGGUUUCUGAAAAUGAAGGCUUUAUUCCAGUAAACAAAAAUCUCUGGUCCCUUUCGUAUGUCACUACGCUCAGUUCUUUUGCCUUCUUCAUUCUGCUGGUCCUGUACCCAGUUGUGGAUGUGAAGGGGCUGUGGACAGGAACCCCAUUCUUUUAUCCAGGAAUGAAUUCCAUUCUGGUAUACGUCGGCCACGAGGUGUUUGAGAACUACUUCCCCUUUCAGUGGAAGCUGAAGGACAACCAGUCCCACAAGGAGCACCUGACUCAGAACAUCGUCGCCACUGCCCUCUGGGUGCUCAUUGCCUACAUCCUCUAUAGAAAGAAGAUUUUUUGGAAAAUCUGAUGGCUCCCACUGAGAUGUGCUGCUGGAAGACUCUAGUAGGCCUGCAGGGAGGACUGAAGCAGCCUUCGUUAAAGGGAAGCAUUCAUUAGGAAAUCGACUGGCUGCGUGUUUACAGACUCUGGGGGAAGACACUGAUGUCCUCAAACUGGUUAACUGAGACACGGCUGGCCAGAACUCUGCCUGUCUAUUUGUGACUUACAGAUUUGAAAUGUAAUUGUCUUUUUUCCUCCAUCUUCUGUGGAAAUGGAUGUCUUUGGAACUUCAUUCCAAGGAGAUAAGCUUUAACUUUCCAAAAGGGAAUUGCCAUGGGUGUUUUUCUUCUGUGGUGGGUGAAACAAUCUGAGGUCUGGUUCUUGCUGACCUUGUUGCCCUGCAAACUUCCUUUCCACGUGUACGCAAACACCAACACGAAAUGCCAUCACUCCUACUGCGGCUGCUAUGAAGCUUACUGGUUGUGAUGUGUUAUAAUUUAGUCUGUUUUUUUGAUUGAAUGCAGUUUAAUGUUUCCAGAAAGCCAAAGUAAUUUUCUUUUCAGAUAUGCAAGGCUUUGGUGGGUCCAAAAAAUGUCUAUCACAAGCCAUUUUUUCCUUUUCCUCUCUCGAAAAGUUAAAAUAUCUAUGUGUUAUUCCCAAACCCUCUUACCUAUGUAUCUGCCUGUCUGUCCAUCAUCUUCCUUCCUCCCUAUCUCUGUGUAUCUGGAUGGCAGCCGCUGCCCAGGGGAGUGGCUGUGGGGAGGGCAGGUACUGUCUUUGCCUGUGGGUCCAGCUGAGCCAUCCCUCCUGGGUGAUGCUCGGCAAGACCCUUGGCCCGUCUGGGCCUUGGCUUCCUCACUUGUGAAAUGAGCGGGAAGAUGACUCUCAGUUCCUUCCACCUCUUAGACAUGGUGAGGUAACAGACAUCAGAAGCUUUUCUGAAAUCUUCAGAAGAAAUAGUUCCAUUACAGAAAACUCUUCAAAAUAAAUAGUAGUGAAAACUUUUAAAAACUCUCAUUGGAGUAAGUCUUUUCAAGGUGAUCCUCCACAAUGGAGGCAGCGUUCCUACUUGUCAUCACACAGCUGAAGACAUUGUUUCUUAGGUGUGAAAUCGGGGACAAAGGACAAACAGAGACACACGGCAUUGUUCAUGGGAGGCAUCGUCACCCUCCUGGGUGUUCUGUGGGAAUUUCCUGUGUGAGGAAAACGUGGCCACAGGGUUGUGCUGUACCCACCCUUCCCCGGCGAGAUGGCCCUCGGCCUGUGCCGCUGCUUCCACCCUCGCCACUCCAUGGCAGCUUUUGGUCUGUUUCCGGCUCUGCCCUCUGCCCUGAACUCUCAUCCGGCUUGUACCUGCCUGCUGGACCCCUCCACCUGGAGGCCAGCCCAUGUCUCAGGCCCAGCCCUAGCCUCUUCUCCUCAAAUUCUAAGUGUUUUCUCUUUAGGUUUCCCUGGCUUUGUGAAUGGAUCAUGUGUCUCUAGGUAUAAACCUGACAUCAUCUUUCCACCCAGCUUACCUCCACCAGAUCUCCCCAGUUCUGUCUCCAUCUUCCACCUGCAGCUGCUCUGUUCUCAUGGUCACUGCUGCAUCACUGAGUCUGGACCCUUGUUAUCAUUUUCAAACUGGCCUCCUUCCCUCGUUCCCCACUUCUUAAAGUCACCUGUCCAUUGCCACCAGAUUAAGCUUUCUCCAGCCAGAUCACCUCUCUCUGAGAAACCUCCAUUGACAUGGAAACACCAUUGUCUGGCACACAUACUCACAUACUCACCUUCCCGUCUUGAUCCCCACACAUCUUUCCAGCCUCCCCUCCCACUCCACUCCCCGCUCCCUCCUCCACCUCCCCAUCCUCUUGUCUCCCCUCCCCUCUGAAUCCAGCCCAGCGGGGCUUCUCCUGCCUCCAUCACAUCACAGAAGUACCUCCUGCUUCUGGUUUUAAUUAGAGCCUUCCCCGAUUACAUUUUCCUCUGAAUUUUUUCCUAUCUACAUUUGAUCUGUCAUGUUUAAACCCCCUACUUCUAAGGGACCUUCUCUAAUCUCUUAUCCUCAUCCCCAAAUAGUGUUUUCUUCCUCUGGGUUCUUACAAUGUUGGUAUCAAUCUCACAGCAUUUAGUGCUUCCUGCCUGGUGUGACAGUUACCUGUGUGCAUGUGCAAUUUCUAAUUUCCCACGCUAGACUGUGAGCUUCCUAAGGCAAGAAUCAUGCCCUGUUGGUUUCUGUAUUCCUCAUGGUGCCAAACACAGUGCCUUGUACAUUGCAGGCACUGAAUAAACAUUUUUAAAGCAAAGUGAUGUGGAUUUUUAAAAUAAAUAUUUAAGUGCUGGUAAGAUGAGCAUGUAUCCGGGGUGCCCAUGAAAUGUUCUUGGGGCCGUGUGGGGACAGUCGUCAUUCCUCCUCCUGCCACCCUUUUCUUGCAGUGAGUCACUGUGGAUGGUCCCAGCUGUGUCAUCCCAAAGUUCAGCAGGGAAAGCUGAGCUGGGCCUCUCCAGGUGAGUUUUCUAGAAGCAUUUCUCAAACUGUGGGUUACAUCAACUUGGGUGUCUUGAGCUGUAAGGAAGGAACUCCGGAGUCAGCUGGGCUACAGGGGGAGCUUCUCUAAGUCCUGCGGGAGGCCAGACCCAGCCUGAGCUUGCUGUUAGCUAGCGGAGGCAGCUGCUGGUGGCCCAGGUGCUCGACACCAGGCAUCCCCUCUCCUCCCACGAAGGGUGUGCCAUAAUCCCCUUCAACAGGAAAUGCUUCCCAGAAGCCUCUCAGCAGCCUCCCCUCCUGUCCUAUCAGCUAGAAGCGCCUCGCUUGUCCCAAGACCAGCAGGGACAGGGAACUGUCUGAGCCCGUGGCUGUGUGGAGGAAGGCGACCCCCAGCACAAGAUUGGUUUCCUUUGGGAAGGGAAGAGGGAGUGUGUUGGGGUAAGGGGUAGAGCAGAGGAAUGGUCAGGGGGCAACAACCGCUGACAGCUGCAACAGGUGCAUGGCAUCUCACAGGGAGGCAGGGAGGUGCGAGCUCCUAAGUAAUGGAGCAAAAAAAUUCUAUUCUGUAGAAUGGGGAGAGAAAAUGUGACAUUUUAAUUUUUUUUGCAUUUAUAUUCCUAAUUCCUACUUAUAAUAAAGUGAAUAUACUGCCGCUGUAGAUCAUAAAAUGUAUCUUUUCCAUGGCCA
RNAcentral lists this long non-coding RNA (3775 nucleotides) under Pan troglodytes (chimpanzee). Its description in RNAcentral is "long non-coding RNA NONPTRT016666". Lineage: Eukaryota; Metazoa; Chordata; Mammalia; Primates; Hominidae. The record is from RNAcentral.